ACCUGGCCAAAAGAGCCAAUGGGAAGACUAGAACUUUUAAAACUUGAAACAAGACUCUCCUUUUUUAUGUCUGUGGUUGUUCUCCCGGAGAGAGGGGACGGGACAAAGCUAUGCUGUAAGAGCUUGGACCAGGUACCUGGCCACUUACUUCGGUUGCCAGGCGUCCGGUUUUCAACCAGAAUGCCCGGUCAAAAAGGGACCCUGGCAGCGCUGAGCGGGCCACUAAAAGUCUGGUAAGUGGCAUGGUGGGGCUAAGGCAGGCUCCCUGCCUGCCUUGGCUGUGUGCAGCUCCCGGAAGCAGCCAGCAUGUCCCUGAAGCCGCUAGGAUCAGGGCAAUCAGGGAGGCUCUGCAGCUCCAUUGGCCAGGAACCGUGUCCAAUGGGAGCUGCUGCCUGCAAGCACGGGCAUCGCACAGAGCCCCCUGAGCUCUCCACUUAGGAACCGGACAUGCCAUCCGCUUCCAGGAGCCACCUGAGGAGAUGUGCCCGGCCCUGGAGAUGGAGCAGAGGAAGGAGUAAAUACUAUUGGCCACUCUCUACUGCCUACCCUGAUAGAUGCUCAGAGUGGAACUGAGGAUGAGCUCUAGCAGGAGCUUUGUCCAGUCUUCUCCUAGUGGAAGGUGAAUCACCUAAACUUUCACAGAGCCUCUGUGAAUGAUGAGAAUCUGAAGGGGACCUCAGAAGAAAAGGUGGGGAUGCCCAGGACACUUUUCCAGCAUUCCUUGUUUAUCCUGAUGGCUUCCUUUCCACUCCAUUAUUUACUAGAGGUUUGGAAGAAUGAAAGAAACUGCUCUGGUCUAUUACUAGGGCCCUGAUUCUGUUAUCACUUAUACUGAUGUAAAAUUAGGUUAAUUUUUGCCCUAAAUGCUACAUCACUUGAAGAAAAGGAAUGAUCUAAUGCUUUGAACAGAGGCCUGGGAGCCACAGACUCCUGGGAGCUAAAAGUAGCACUAACACUGAUUCACUGUAUAACCUUGGGUAAGUCAUUUUACCUCCUCUCAUAGUGUCUCUGUCUUAGUGUACACAUCAGUAAAAUGGAGAUAAUUAGUACAGUUUUCAAAAUUGUGAAAGUCAGAGAUCCCCAAAAUGUGGGGCGCCCCGCUCAGGGGAGCAUGGAGGAACGUCCAGGAGGCUCAGCGGGGUUCAGGCCAGCCCCCACAGGGGCAGGGAGGGAGCACCAUCUGGCCCCCCACACCCACCCCCAGUCAUGUUCCUGGCUCCUGGCCCCACAUCUGGCCUCGGCCCUGUUCCCAGCCUUGCGCCAGCCUCCAGUAGGGUUGCCAACUUUCUAAUAGCACAAAACCCCGCCCCUGCUGUGACGGUGCCCCCCAUAAGGCUUUAUGGAGAUAUGCUUUUGAAUGUAUAUAUGACAAACAUAUUCUAGUUAUAUGCUACAUAUGCCAUGUAACAUAUCUAUGUAAAGGUUAUGAUCUAUUGAAUCUAUUAAUCCUAUUUGUAGGCAUAUGUCAUUUUUGUAUUAAAAGUUAUGAAUAUUGGCAGUGUACUGGCUUGAUUUUGAAGUGACCUUUGUAAAACAUUUGGUCAGCUUCUUGAGAAAGGAAUGUGCAAAUCAAGAAGCACUUAAAGUACAGUGGAUCUUGGAAGGCUCCAAUCCACAUAAGAAGUCUACUUGAGGAUGUUCAAGGCAGCAUGUGACCCAUGGCUGCUACCUGGUAAGAAACUGUGAGUCAUGCAUGGACAUGUGACUUGCACAGGUGACUCCAGAACAUCAUCCUGGAGCUGGACUUUGCAUAGGAGAGAGAAGGGGGCUCUCCAUCCACAAGAGAAAGUCUAUUUAAGCCCAUGGGAGACCCCCUCCAUUUUGUCUUCAGCUGGCUAAAGAGAGAGCCUCUCUACCCCCAAGAAAGAAACUGGAACAAAGGGCAAUAACUACACGGGUUGUGAGUGAUUGCUGGACCCGGACUAGAAGGAGAUCAGUCUGUAAAAGGAAGCUUUCUGGAACUGGUGAGGUUUUGUCUGUAUUCAGUUUUAUUAGACAUAGACUUGUGGGUUUUAUUUUAUUUUGCUUGGUAAUUCACUUUGUU
Non-coding RNA from Caretta caretta (loggerhead turtle), 2044 nucleotides. NCBI's taxonomy places the organism in Eukaryota, Metazoa, Chordata, Testudines, Cheloniidae. The record is from RefSeq and is a predicted model, not a curated record.